CGUGGUUUCAGAGCUUUUCGUUGUGCUGGCGACAGGCCGCCGGACGUAAGAUGCUGGGGGUUCGCGCUGCGUGAAGUCCUCCCGGUCCGUCCUGCGUGCCUGGGAAUUCGGCAGUCGCGACGGCGAGAGUCGGGACUCGGGGAAACCCCAGCGGAUGUGGAUUCCCCUCCUAGCUCCACCCCUGCAGUGCCAGUGAAGGACAGCAGAGCUGUGGGGAUGAGAGUUUGAUCACUCCAUUCAGUGCACACCCAGAUGCAUGUGUGGCACCUCCUGGUGUGCUGCCCCACUGGGUAAAGGGAUAUUGGAAGAGAUUCUGGAGUGGGAUGUGAAGAUUCAAGAGCAGUCUUUGAAUAUUUGCAUCAUGAUAGGUCUUGGAGGUGCCUUGUGGGUGGGUCUUUGGGAGGUUCCAUUAUCAGGGAAUUAUGGAUAUUAAGGAAGUCAGGAAAUAAAAGAUUAACUCACAAUUCA
This 468-nucleotide long non-coding RNA is filed under the name Ursus maritimus (polar bear). RNAcentral describes it as "lncRNA (ENSUMAG00000018166.1)". The record is from RNAcentral. Lineage: Eukaryota; Metazoa; Chordata; Mammalia; Carnivora; Ursidae.